GCGCUUGCUUUGGCAGCACAUGUACUAAAAUUGGAACGAUACAGAGAUUAGCAGGGCCCCUGCGCAAGGAUGGCAUGUAAAUUCAUGAAGCAUUCCAUAUUUAA
Artibeus jamaicensis (Jamaican fruit-eating bat) is the source of this 104-nucleotide small nuclear RNA. NCBI's taxonomy places the organism in Eukaryota, Metazoa, Chordata, Mammalia, Chiroptera, Phyllostomidae. The record is from RefSeq and is a predicted model, not a curated record.